GAAAAGAAACCAACAGGGAUUGCCUUAGUAACGGCGAGUGAAGCGGCAAGAGCUCAAAUUUGAAAUCUGAUGUCUUCGACGUCCGAGUUGUAAUUUGAAGAGGAAUCUUCGGUUUGGACCACGAUCUAUGUUCCUUGGAACAGGACGUCGUAGAGGGUGAGAAUCCCGUACACGGUUGAUGGUCUCUUUCCAUGUGAAGUUCCUUCGAAGAGUCGAGUUGUUUGGGAAUGCAGCUCUAAAUGGGUGGUAAAUUUCAUCUAAAGCUAAAUACCGGCGAGAGACCGAUAGCGCACAAGUAGAGUGAUCGAAAGAUGAAAAGCACUUUGAAAAGAGAGUUAAACAGUACGUGAAAUUGUUGAAAGGGAAGCGCUUGCAAUCAGACUUGCUUUGGAUUGAUCAACGUUCCUUCUGGUUCGUGCACUCAGUCUCUUGCAGGCCAGCAUCGGUUCGGACGGCGGGACAAAGACCUCGGGAAUGUGGCUCUCUUCGGGGAGUGUUAUAGCCCUUGGUGCAAUGCCGCCUGCCCGGACCGAGGACCGCGCUUCGGCUAGGAUGCUGGCGUAAUGGUUGUAAGCGACCCGU
This 582-nucleotide ribosomal RNA is filed under the name uncultured fungus. RNAcentral's name for it is "eukaryotic LSU rRNA". It matches the Rfam family "Eukaryotic large subunit ribosomal RNA", at positions 56 to 652 of the family's 3401-position model. The record is from RNAcentral. Lineage: Eukaryota; Fungi.